CAGAUGAGAGAUGAUGAAAAGGAAAUAAAUCGUCUGUCAACGUUCGCAUUUCCUCCGUGUGUGAACUCCAUUAACCGAAGGGUGAACACAGAGUUUGACUUAGACUCCUGGGGCAGUGAUGAGAAUGAGAACAUUGGAGGUGAGCAGGUUGAGCCUUCUUUGUGGGAUUCCUGGACCUCACUGCACUCUCACCUCUUCCCCCCGGACCUCAUCAACCUGCCCAGCAUUCCUGCCCAUCAGCCCAGUCCCAGCCCAUGCAGGUACAGCAUGAACUGUGAAAGAAUUAUUAAAUUAACUUCUAAUUUGCU
Oryzias melastigma (Indian medaka) is the source of this 308-nucleotide long non-coding RNA. RefSeq lists it as uncharacterized. The transcript is spliced from 3 exons. The record is from RefSeq and is a predicted model, not a curated record. Lineage: Eukaryota; Metazoa; Chordata; Actinopteri; Beloniformes; Adrianichthyidae.